CACUCCUGGACAGAAACGGAAUCUACAUCCGACAUCUGGCUGCCUAAAAGUUAUGCCUUUCAGGUUCUGCAAGACAGAGCUCACAGAAGGAUUUUAUUCCCAUAUAUUCACAUGCAAAAACCUGGCGUGCAGCUAAAAAAGAAAAUAUUACCACCAUGCACCAGAAUGUUCUGAAAGUUAUCUCAGAAGUGUGGUUUGAACUCCGAUCUGGCCUCUGCCGCAUCUCUCUUCAUGUGAGGCUACUUUCUCCAGCUGUCACUGCAAGCCAGCCCUGGUCUGUCCAUGUCUAAACACCCAACACUCUUCCCGCCUCACACGCUUCCCUUAGUCUUGGACAUUCCCUGGCGUCUCUGGAGAGCUGAUACUUUGGUGCUCAGCAUAAACGGGAGGCUUUGUCUAGCCGUGGUAUUGAAAUGGCUGGUUCCAGUCGCAUCUGCACAGCCAACACCUGGUUCUCUCCUGCUGGCUCGUUCUGCCUAGUGGCGAGUAGGCUCACUGUGGAGGACUCUGCCGACCUGGGAGUGAGUCAGUUGGGAGGGGAGAGGCUACAGUGC
Molecule: long non-coding RNA, 554 nt
Organism: Chinchilla lanigera (long-tailed chinchilla)
Lineage: Eukaryota; Metazoa; Chordata; Mammalia; Rodentia; Chinchillidae
Exons: 3
Source: RefSeq, a predicted model, not a curated record